Molecule: signal recognition particle RNA, 299 nt
Filed under: Aotus nancymaae (Ma's night monkey)
Lineage: Eukaryota; Metazoa; Chordata; Mammalia; Primates; Aotidae
Description: Metazoan signal recognition particle RNA (ENSANAG00000004693.1)
Rfam family: Metazoan signal recognition particle RNA
About the family: The signal recognition particle (SRP) is a universally conserved ribonucleoprotein. It is involved in the co-translational targeting of proteins to membranes. The eukaryotic SRP consists of a 300-nucleotide 7S RNA and six proteins: SRPs 72, 68, 54, 19, 14, and 9.
Source: RNAcentral
GCCGGGUGCAGUGGCAUGUACCUAUAGUCCCAGCUACUCGGGAAGCUGAGAUAGGAGGACUGCUUGAGUCCAGGAGUUCUGGGCUGUAGUGCACUAUGCCAAUUGGGUAUCGUCACUAAGUUCAGCAUCAAUAUGAUGACCUCUCGGGAGCCGGGGACCACCAGGUUGCAUAAGGAGGGGUGAACCGCCCCAGGUCGGAAACGGAGCAGGUCAAAACUCCCGUGCUGAUCUGUAGUGGGAUCAUGCCUGUGAAAAGCCACUGCACUCCAGCCUGGGCAACGUAGCGAGACCCCGUCUCU